This 1060-nucleotide small RNA is filed under the name Pan troglodytes (chimpanzee). Its description in RNAcentral is "processed transcript". Lineage: Eukaryota; Metazoa; Chordata; Mammalia; Primates; Hominidae. The record is from RNAcentral.
GGCCGCGGGGCCGAGGGUUUGAACCGGGGGUCUGUCGUCCGCGGCGGGGCUGCGUCGGCUGCGGCGGGUGUGGGAGGUGGCGACGGCCGGGGCCGGGGUCCUGCCCGGCUGCGGAGGCGGGCGCGACGGGCGCGGGGGUCGCUGCUCCUGAGGCGAUGAUGGGCAAGGAGGAGGAGAUUGCGCGGAUCGCCCGGAGGCUGGACAAGAUGGUGACCAAGAAGAGCGCGGAGGGAGCCAUGGAUUUGCUGCGGGAGCUGAAGGCCAUGCCUAUCACGCUGCACCUGCUCCAGUCCACCCGAGUCGGGAUGUCUGUCAACGCCCUUCGGAAGCAGAGCUCGGAUGAGGAGGUCAUUGCACUGGCCAAGUCUCUCAUCAAGUCCUGGAAGAAGCUCCUGGAUGCUUCCGAUGCCAAAGCCAGGGAGCGGGGGAGGGGCAUGCCUCUGCCCACGUCCUCGAGGGAUGCCUCAGAGGCCCCGGAUCCCAGCCGCAAGAGGCCGGAGCUGCCCAGGGCACCGUCGACUCCGAGGAUCACCACAUUUCCCCCGGUGCCUGUCACCUGUGAUGCCGUGCGCAACAAGUGCCGCGAGAUGCUGACCGCUGCCCUGCAGACGGACCAUGACCACGUGGCCAUCGGUGCGGACUGCGAGCGCCUGUCGGCUCAGAUCGAGGAAUAUAUCCUUUGGGUAGGGGCUGUGGGCCUGGGUUUCUGGUGGAGUCAGGAGGCUGCCUGGCCUGGUGCCCUCUGGUGGCUGCUGGAUGCCACUGCCCAGCUGUCCAGGGGUCACCUGCCUGGGUGGUCACCUGCCUGGGUGGUCAGGCUGUCUCACCCCAGGAGGGCCCCCGGACCAGCUGAGGGGCUGAUUCUGUCUGCUUGUGGGGCCUAGGUCCCCUGGGGCUAUAGCCUGAAGCUGGGUCUCAGUCAGGAAUGGGCCUGGGGCAGGCUUGGCCCCGCAGCCCUUCACCUCUCCACCAGGUGUGGGUGGGCAGACCGACCCCUGUGUGGCUGGGCAGAACCUUUCCAGCCCCCACCCCAACAUGGCCCCCAGCGGGGCAGGUGGUA